This 484-nucleotide ribosomal RNA is filed under the name uncultured bacterium. RNAcentral's name for it is "partial 16S ribosomal RNA". It matches the Rfam family "Bacterial small subunit ribosomal RNA", at positions 30 to 507 of the family's 1533-position model. The record is from RNAcentral.
AUUGAACGCUGGCGGCAGGCCUAACACAUGCAAGUCGAACGGAAGAAGGGUGCUUGCUUGUGGUUUCAGAGGGGGAAGGGUGAGUGUUGCAUGGGAAUCUCCCUGGCUGUGGUUGGUGACGACCGGAGACAGGCGCUAAUACCGCAUGAGUGCAGAGGGAGAAGGAGGGGGAGCGUCGGACCUCUCGCUCUGAGGGGAGUGUAGGUCGGAUUAGCUAGUUGGUGGGGUGAAGGGCUACCAAGCCGACGAUCCGUAACUGGUCGGAUAGGAUGAGCAGUCACACUGGAACUGAGACACGGUCCAUACUCCUGCGGGAGGCAGCAGUGGGGAAUAUUGGACAAUGGGCGAAAGCCUUAUCCAGCCAUCCCGCGUGUGUGAAGAAGGUCUUCGGAGUGUAAAGCCCUUUUUGUGGGGAUGAAGGGCAGUAGGUUAAUACCAAGCUGUUUUGACGUUACCAACAGAAUAAGCACCGGCUAACUUCGUG